RNAcentral lists this ribosomal RNA (273 nucleotides) under uncultured Hymenobacter sp. RNAcentral describes it as "partial 16S ribosomal RNA". It matches the Rfam family "Bacterial small subunit ribosomal RNA", at positions 524 to 796 of the family's 1533-position model. The record is from RNAcentral. Lineage: Bacteria; Pseudomonadati; Bacteroidota; Cytophagia; Cytophagales; Hymenobacteraceae.
UACGGAGGGUGCGAGCGUUGUCCGGAUUUAUUGGGUUUAAAGGGUGCGUAGGCGGCUUGUUAAGUCCGGGGUGAAAGCCCACAGCUCAACUGUGGAACUGCCCUGGAUACUGGCAAGCUUGAGUCCAGACGAGGUUGGCGGAAUGGAUGCUGUAGCGGUGAAAUGCAUAGAUAGCAUCCAGAACCCCGAUUGCGAAGGCAGCUGACUAGGCUGGCACUGACGCUGAGGCACGAAAGCGUGGGGAGCGAACAGGAUUAGAUACCCUAGUAGUCC